Molecule: ribosomal RNA, 465 nt
Filed under: uncultured Spirochaeta sp.
Lineage: Bacteria; Pseudomonadati; Spirochaetota; Spirochaetia; Spirochaetales; Spirochaetaceae
Description: bacterial SSU rRNA
Rfam family: Bacterial small subunit ribosomal RNA
Source: RNAcentral
AACGAACGCUGGCGGCGCGUUUUAAGCAUGCAAGUCGAACGGUAGUACGGUGCUUGCACCGUAUGAGAGUGGCGAACGGGUGAGUAACACGUAGGUGAUUUACCUUUGGUUUGGGGAUAGCCUGUGGAAACACAGGGUAAUACCGAAUAAGGUUUUAAGUUUGAGGACUUAAGACGAAAGGCGCUAAGGCGCCGACUGGAGAUGAGCCUGCGGUCCGUUAGUUAGUUGGUGGGGUAAAGGCCUACCAAGGCGACGAUGGAUAGCCGGCCUGAGAGGGUGGCCGGCCACACUGGGACUGAGACACGGCCCAGACCCCUACGGGAGGCAGCAGCUAAGAAUCUUCCGCAAUGGGCGAAAGCCUGACGGAGCGACGCCGCGUGGACGAUGAAGGCCGGAAGGUUGUAAAGUCCUUUUCUUGAUGAAGAAUAAAGUUAAGAGGGAAUGCUUAGCCGAUGACGUUAGUCA